RNAcentral lists this unclassified non-coding RNA (271 nucleotides) under Hevea brasiliensis (rubber tree). The record is from RNAcentral. Lineage: Eukaryota; Viridiplantae; Streptophyta; Magnoliopsida; Malpighiales; Euphorbiaceae.
CACAAUGUAAAUAUUCAUAUAAAUCAUAUAAACUAACAAUUCAUUACUCGAAUCAACUAGAUUAUAUCAGGAUGUCCUGGGAAGCCAUCACAGAGCAAAUGAUACAAUUUACCAAACCACUGAAAUUUCAUAACUUGGCGACGGGCAUGUGAUAUAAGGUAGCACGAGCAGUAUACACCAGCUUCCUGUUUUUCUUGAUUCUGAACUCAAUUGCAACUACAGUUAUGUUUCUGCCACUCCUCGCAACAGACCCAUCAACAACCACAACUUC